GAACGAAGUAGCAAUACUUAGUGGCAGACGGGUGAGUAACAUGUGGGUAUCUGCCCUUUGGCCCGGAAUAACACGAGGAAACUUGUGCUAAUACUGGAUAAGUCUUUACGGAGAAAGCUUUAUGCACCAUUGGAUGAGCCCGCACUUGAUUAGUUUGUUGGUAGGGUAAUGGCCUACCAAGACUGUGAACAAUAGCUGAUUUGAGAGGAUGAUCAGCCACAUUGGGACUGAGACACGGCCCAAACUCCUACGGGAGGCAGCAGUGGGGAAUCUUGCACAAUGGAGGAAACUCUGAUGCAGCAAUGCCGCGUGAGUGAAGAAGGCCCUUGGGUUGUAAGCUCUUUCGUCGGGGAAGAAAAUGACUGUACCCGAAUAAGAAGGUCCGGCUAACUUCGUGCCAGCAGCCGCGGUAAUACGAAGGGACCUAGCGUAGUUCGGAAUUACUGGGCUUAAAGAGUUCGUAGGUGGUUGAAAAAGUUGGUGGUGAAAUCCCAGAGCUUAACUCUGGAACUGCCAUCAAAACUUUUCAGCUAGAGUUUGAUAGAGGAAAGCAGAAUUUCUAGUGUAGAGGUGAAAUUCGUAGAUAUUAGAAAGAAUACCAAUUGCGAAGGCAGCUUUCUGGAUCAUUACUGACACUGAGGAACGAAAGCAUGGGUAGCGAAGAGGAUUA
This 670-nucleotide ribosomal RNA is filed under the name uncultured Alphaproteobacteria bacterium. Its description in RNAcentral is "bacterial SSU rRNA". It matches the Rfam family "Bacterial small subunit ribosomal RNA", at positions 64 to 780 of the family's 1533-position model. The record is from RNAcentral. Lineage: Bacteria; Pseudomonadati; Pseudomonadota; Alphaproteobacteria.